GAUGAACGCUGGCGGCGUGCCUAAUACAUGCCAGUCGAGCGAACAGACGAGGAGCUUGCUCCUCUGACGUUAGCGGCGGACGGGUGAGUAACACGUGGAUAACCUACCUAUAAGACUGGGAUAACUUCGGGAAACCGGAGCUAAUACCGGAUAAUAUAUUGAACCGCAUGGUUCAAUAGUGAAAGACGGUUUUGCUGUCACUUAUAGAUGGAUCCGCGCCGCAUUAGCUAGUUGGUAAGGUAACGGCUUACCAAGGCGACGAUGCGUAGCCGACCUGAGAGGGGGAUAGGCAACAUGGGAGAGGAAACGGGGCCAAGACUCAGGGGGGAGGCGAAAGAAGGAAAUGGCCGGAAAUGGGGGAAAGCAUGAAGAAACAGGGCCGCGGGGGAGAGAAAGGUGUUGGGAUAGAAAAACUUUUUUUUGGGGGAAAAAAAGAUGUGAAAGUAAAUGUACAGGUUGUGACGGUAAUAAAUAAAAAAGCAACGGCAAACUACGUG
Molecule: ribosomal RNA, 497 nt
Filed under: uncultured bacterium
Lineage: Bacteria
Description: partial 16S ribosomal RNA
Rfam family: Bacterial small subunit ribosomal RNA
Source: RNAcentral